CGGACUCCUUGGGAGGACCACAUGCAAUGACGAGAAGCGGCGUAAGGCGGCGAGCUGUGAGACACGACCCGGUCGGGAAACCCAGGCUUUCUCAGCACGGUGAGCAGCAAAGAAAACCCUGCACCGUCGUGGGCAACUAGGAAGAGACCCCUGAGUGGAUGGAGACAUCCAGAAGCCUAAAGCGGCGCUGGGCGUGGCUAGCACACGCCAGCGCGGGAACCCAAGUGAUGCGGCCUGGUUUCUUCCGCUUCCGCCGGGACUCUCUGCGUAGCGGACCGGUGCGAACGCAACUUCCGGCCCGACCGGGUCCAGGGAGCCGCUGCGUUCCUGGUGGGAAGCCGGGGUGGCCGAACGUGCGUGGCCAUGUGGCGGCUGCUGGCUCGAGCCGGGGCGCCGCUCCUGCGAGCGCGGCCGUCAGAUUCUUGGGCCGCCCCGCCCGCCAGUGCUGGCCUAAAGAUGCUGCUCCCGGUGCCGACUUUUGAGGAUGUUUCCAUUCCUGAAAAGCCCAAGCUUAGAUUUGUUGAAAGGGUACCACUUGUGCCAAAAGUGAGAAGAGAACCUAAGAACUUGAGGGACAUCCGGGGACCUUCUACUGAAGCUACCGAGUUCACAGAAGGCAGUUUUGCAAUCC
RNA transcript from Ailuropoda melanoleuca (giant panda), 631 nucleotides. RefSeq lists it as uncharacterized. NCBI's taxonomy places the organism in Eukaryota, Metazoa, Chordata, Mammalia, Carnivora, Ursidae. The transcript is spliced from 4 exons. The record is from RefSeq and is a predicted model, not a curated record.